Nematolebias whitei (Rio pearlfish) is the source of this 141-nucleotide small nuclear RNA. RefSeq annotates it as U4 spliceosomal RNA. The record is from RefSeq and is a predicted model, not a curated record. The transcript has a single exon. NCBI's taxonomy places the organism in Eukaryota, Metazoa, Chordata, Actinopteri, Cyprinodontiformes, Rivulidae.
AUCUUUGCGCAGCAGCAGUAUCGUAGCCUGUGAGGUUGAUCCGAGGCGCGAUUAUUGCUAGUUGGAAACUUUACCCAAUACUCCGCCUUGAUGACUGCAAACACAGUCAGCAACGGCAAUUAUGGACAGUCUUAACAAAGA